Molecule: long non-coding RNA, 281 nt
Filed under: Elaeis guineensis (African oil palm)
Lineage: Eukaryota; Viridiplantae; Streptophyta; Magnoliopsida; Arecales; Arecaceae
Description: long non-coding RNA (EGUI_LNC057589)
Source: RNAcentral
GUCUGUGAUCCAUCCACUAUAGAAGUUCUACUGUCGAAGAAGCUCGAUUGUUGACGAAGUCCGAAGGAAGUUCGGAGUAAAAUCGAUCAUGGCUGGGAGAAAUCUGGAAGAGAUUCAAAGAAUAGUCGAUCACUGUAGAGAAUUGGGUGAAAGUGAAGCUCAGAGAGCAUUUGGAGCAGUCCGGUAGAUGAAUGGAGAAGCUCAUGAUUGGAGAAGCCCGGAUGGUAUUAUGGAAGCUCGGACGGUCAGGAGAGUUUGGAAAGAUGCCACACAAGGUUGGA